CACGAUGAACGCUUAGAGGCAGGCCUAACACAUGCAAGCCGAGGGGUAAGUCUCUUUCGGGAGAACACGACCGGCGCACGGGUGAGUAACGCGUAUGCAACCUACCUUUGGCACGGGGACAGCCCGGGGAAACCCGGAUUAAUACCCGGUAUAGUCUAUUAUACACCUGUAUAAAAGACGAGAGCUACGGCGGCCAAAGAUGGGCAUGCGUGCCAUUAGUUAGUUGGUAGGGUAACGGCCUACCAAGGCAUCGAUGGCUACGGGGUCUAAAAGGAUGAGCCCGCACACUGGUACUGAGACACGGACCAGACUCCUACGGGAGGCAGCAGUGAGGAAUAUUGGUCAAUGGGUGGAAGCCUGAACCAGCCAUGCCGCGUGCAGGAAGACGGCCUUAUGGGUUGUAAACUGCUUUUCUACGGGACGAACGGCUCUGACGUGUCAGAGAUUGACGGUACCGUAGGAAUAAGCAUCGGCUAACUCCGUGCCAGCAGCCGCGGUAAUACGGAGGAUGCGAGCGUUAUCCGGAUUUAUUAGGUUUAAAGGGUGCGUAGGCUGGGCAAUAAGUCAGUGGUGAAAGUCCGCGGCUCAACCGUGGGAUUGCCAUUGAAACUGUUGUUCUUGAGUACAGUCGAGGUAGGCGGAAUGUGUAAUGUAGCGGUGAAAUGCAUAGAUAUUACCCAGAACACCGAUUGCGUAGGCAGCUUACCAGCCUGGAACUGACGCUGAUGCACGAAAGCGUGGGGAGCGAACAGGAUUAGAUACCCUGGUAGUCCACGCCGUAAACGAUGAUCACUCGCUGUUGGCAAUAUAGAGUCAGCGGCUGAGCGAAAGCAUUAAGUGAUCCACCUGGGGAGUACGUCGGCAA
This 865-nucleotide ribosomal RNA is filed under the name uncultured organism. Its description in RNAcentral is "bacterial SSU rRNA". It matches the Rfam family "Bacterial small subunit ribosomal RNA", at positions 25 to 891 of the family's 1533-position model. The record is from RNAcentral.